Molecule: ribosomal RNA, 253 nt
Filed under: uncultured bacterium
Lineage: Bacteria
Description: partial 16S ribosomal RNA
Rfam family: Bacterial small subunit ribosomal RNA
Source: RNAcentral
UACGUAGGGUCCGAGCGUUGUCCGGAAUUAUUGGGCGUAAAGGGCUCGUAGGCGGUUAGUCGCGUCGGGAGUGAAAACUCAGGGCUCAACCCUGAGCGUGCUUCCGAUACGGGCUGACUAGAGGUAUGCAGGGGAGAACGGAAUUCCUGGUGUAGCGGUGGAAUGCGCAGAUAUCAGGAGGAACACCGGUGGCGAAGGCGGUUCUCUGGGCAUUACCUGACGCUGAGGAGCGAAAGCAUGGGGAGCGAACAGG